This 341-nucleotide ribosomal RNA is filed under the name unidentified. RNAcentral describes it as "Xenokeroplatus sp. 2 NB-2020 partial 16S ribosomal RNA". The record is from RNAcentral.
UUUUUUAAUUGAAAGCUUGUAUGAAAGGUUGAAUGAGAUAUUAGCUGUUUUAAAAAAAAUUAAAUUGAAUUUUAUUUUUUAGUCAAAAAGCUAAAAUAUUUUUAUAAGACGAGAAGACCCUAUAAAGUUUUAUAUUUAUUUUAUAAUAAUUUAUUUAAAUAUUUUUAUAUUUUUGUAAAAUAAAUAUUUUGUUGGGGAGAUAAUAAAAUUUAAAAAACUUUUAUUUUUGAAAAUCAUUGAUUAAUGAGUUUAUGAUCCUUUUUUAAAGAUUAAAAAAUUAAAUUACUUUAGGGAUAACAGCGUAAUUUUUUUUUUAAGUUCAAAUUUAUAAAAAAGUUUGC